UAAGGAAUAUUCCACAAUGGUCGCAAGACUGAUGGAGCAACGCCGCGUGCGCGACGAAGCCCUUCGGGGUGUAAAGCGCUUUUCCCAGGGAUGAGAAUGGACAGUACCUGGGGAAUAAGCCUCGGCUAACUACGUGCCAGCAGCCGCGGUAAUACGUAGGAGGCGAGCGUUGUCCGGAAUCACUGGGCGUAAAGCGCGUGUAGGCGGUUGAGUUAGUCUGCUGUGAAAACGCUCCGCUUAACGGGGCGAGGUCGGUGGAAACUGCUCGACUAGAGGACGGUAGAGGUAGGUGGAAUUCCCGGUGUAGUGGUGAAAUGCGUAGAGAUCGGGAGGAACACCUGUGGCGAAGGCGGCCUACUGGGCCGGACCUGACGCUGAGACGCGAAGGCGCGGGGAGCGAACGG
RNAcentral lists this ribosomal RNA (404 nucleotides) under uncultured bacterium. RNAcentral describes it as "bacterial SSU rRNA". It matches the Rfam family "Bacterial small subunit ribosomal RNA", at positions 355 to 775 of the family's 1533-position model. The record is from RNAcentral.